UUUCUCGGGUGGCGAUCGUAAAUUGGUGGGUCUAUAAGUUAAAUGCAGAAAAAAAGAAAAAAAAGUUAGUAGAAUUAUCACGAAAAUGUAUUUAGAUGAUUAGUAGUGCCCGUCUUACUUGUUGGAUAGAGGUGAUCAGCUGAGUGAAUAAACUUUUCAAGUCCUGUUCCUCUAACCUCGCCUUUUCCUCAGGCCCAAGGAACGCCUCAAACAGUUUAGUUGCCAUCGAGAAAUCAUUCAGAAGAUCCACCACUAGAUGAAUAUCUACCACAACCCGGGGACACGGAGGAUUCAUAUCACAACCAGGAAUAUUGGCAAGCUCCAUCAUCUCCUGGUCACUUGAUGACACUCCAAAUGUCUCCAGACCACCGGUUGGAACCCAUGCAUGAAAGGUGAAGGCUUAAGAACUGUCAGUGAUUCAAUUGUACCCUUUUGAUGUCGGAGCAAACGAGAACUGAUCACUUCGACGUCAGGUUUGGUAAGAUCCGAAACCCUUCUCCUUUUUGUGGAGUCGGGUGUUGCAUAAUGGGAAAGCUCACGCCCAAUGUUGGCCCCACAUGUAGUAGGCAACCUCGAAAUGGGCUUUCGAUGGAAAAAACUGCAAGAAUCUUAAAAAUUAAGAAAAGGCAUCGAAAAUAUAAAACAAAACAAUAAAUAAAUAACCUUUAAGACGCUUACCGUGGUUUUUGUCCCUGGACUGGAGUGUUCUUGUAGACAUUUCCUCCAAAGGUUCGUUCAUAGGGGCUUUUCCACUUCGACGUUCCGGCAAUGCAAUUUCCUUUUCGCCCCUCUCUUCUUCAGAAGGAGGCAUCGGUGGGGGCUGUCCGACAAGGAUGUGGAAGAGGAAUGUUAGGAAGAAACAUAUUUAGCCAUAGAUUAGUGAAAUAUUUUAUUGCUAAAUUAUUGUAGUAAAAUAUCCACCUUGAUAGACGCAGGGUUUGUUGUGACAGAUUCUCCAUGUUAUUUUCUUGUAAAAUAUUGUUGUGGGUUAAAACUUUGAACCUGAUCAAAUGAAUGCAAUAAUUAUUAGCUUGUAAUUAUAUUUAUUAAUUUAGAUAAAAUAGUAAAGUUUUUGAAAAGUAAUAAUUUAUAUGCACUGAUAAAAUAAAAGGACGAAUAAACAAAUUUGAAUUAUAUAAUAUCGAUAAAAUAAGGAAAAUGGACACCGUUCCAUAGACUCCUUAAGACUCACAAUAGAAAUUGUUUAAAACAAGAGAAGGAAGGUGAUGUUUGAAUCAUAAAUAUUGAUAAAUAGUUAAAAUUAAAGAAAAUAAAAAGUACCUCUAUGUACAAUAAAGAUUUGAAGAAGAUGACUAGAGAAUGGGAGAUUGGGAAAAUUCUCAUUGCAUGCUUUUAAGUUAACGAUCUUAUAUUCAUGCCAUACUAAAAUUGAUAGAAAAAGUAAAUCUUGAGUUUAAUCACAUAUAUAGUUCGAUGACAGAAGCUAUCAGAUUUCUGGUUUAAUGCCAUACUAAAAUGCUAGAGUUAAACCCUGUUGUUCUUCAUAUAGCAAGAAAAAAACAAGGAAAAAAAUUUGUUAAAAACACAAGUGUUUGUAAGAUAAUUAUAAGCAAUAACAUAUAUUAUCUUCAUAAUUACAAGAGAAGCAUUAUGGAAUAUUUUCUUAAAAUACUCUUAUUAGUUAUACUUUGCAAAUCUAAAUUUGACUAGUAAAGAAUUGAAACGUCAGUUCUUCUAAUCUUAGUUGAUUAAAAAAUGUAUUCAGUUUGUAAGAUUUGGACACUUGUAACCAUUAAAAAAGGUUCUGAGAGUUGAACAUUAAAUCAAAAUCCAAGCACAAAUAUAAAGAGAAGUCUCUAUUUCAUAACAAAGGGCCCAAAGGGACCAAAAUACUUGCAACAAAAAAAUGAAGAAAUAAACUAGCAAAUGAUAAGAGGGGCUGGAAGGCCCAAAAGCCCUUGAAAACAUAACUGCUAGGCAUCAGGAUAAAGGGGGUGCAUCUGAGGCAUCUUCACUCUCAUCGUCUGAAAGACCCAGAGGGUCAUCACUCUCGGAGUCAUUUUCGGAUAGAGCCUGCUCCAGGGCUUCUCUCGCAGCAUUAGCAGCAGCUUCAGCUUCGGUGAUAGCCAUGGGAAGAUCAAGGUCUCCAUCUUGGAUCUCAAGAAGGGUGUCCACUCGGGUUUGUAGGGACACCCAGCAACUGUCCAAUUCAGCCACAUUCCUGUCAUUUCUACGCCUCACUUGCAGUGCAUUCAGCCUGGCCUGAAGUUGCGCUCUGUCCAUCUCAUUUUUAGUACGCAACUCAGCCAAAUCAGCCUCUAGGUUAGCCACCCUUUCCUGCAAGGCAUGGUUCCUAGAGUAAAGGUAAGCACGUACUUUCUCCCUUGAAGAGAGCUUACCAUGUAGCUCCAUUUGCCAGGCUUGCAGCUUCUCAUUCUCAGCCUGGAGCCCAGCAUUUUUUGAUUGGAGCUCACUUACCUCGGACUGGAGCACACCGACUGUGGAUUUUAGAUUCUCCACAUCACCAGAGUGGGCCAUAAGCUUAUGCAUAUGAUCUCUUGCUUUUUCUCGGGUGGCGAUCGUAAAUUGGUGGGUCUAUAAGUUAAAUGCAAAAAAAAGAAAAAAAAGUUAGUAAAAUUAUCACGAAAAUGUAUUUAGAUGAUUAGUAGUGCCCGACUUACUUGUUGGAUAGAGGUGAUCAGCUGAGUGAAUAAACUUUUCAAGUCUUGUUCCUCUAACCUCGCCUUUUCCUCAGGCCCAAGGAAUGCCUCAAACAGUUUAGUUGCCAUCG
RNAcentral lists this long non-coding RNA (2752 nucleotides) under Capsicum annuum. RNAcentral describes it as "long non-coding RNA (CANN_LNC016745)". The record is from RNAcentral. Lineage: Eukaryota; Viridiplantae; Streptophyta; Magnoliopsida; Solanales; Solanaceae.